Molecule: ribosomal RNA, 254 nt
Filed under: uncultured bacterium
Lineage: Bacteria
Description: partial 16S ribosomal RNA
Rfam family: Bacterial small subunit ribosomal RNA
Source: RNAcentral
UACGUAGGGGGCGAGCGUUGUCCGGAUUCAUUGGGCGUAAAGAGCUCGUAGGCGGUUUGGUAAGUCGGGUGUGAAAACCCCAGGCUCAACCUGGGGACGCCACCUGAUACUGCUAUGACUUGAGUCUGGUAGGGGAUCACGGAAUUCCUGGUGUAGCGGUGAAAUGCGCAGAUAUCAGGAGGAACACCGGUGGCGAAGGCGGUGAUCUGGGCCAGUACUGACGCUGAGGAGCGAAAGCGUGGGUAGCAAACAGG